This is an RNA transcript of Musa acuminata AAA Group (dessert banana), 2550 nucleotides long. It is a transcript of the gene named AP-5 complex subunit mu-like, with no coding region annotated. The transcript has 9 exons. Lineage: Eukaryota; Viridiplantae; Streptophyta; Magnoliopsida; Zingiberales; Musaceae. The record is from RefSeq and is a predicted model, not a curated record.
CUCAUCGGUACUCAUUUUGGCGUCGCGUUACUCGCUUCCGGAGGGAAAAGGGGGGGAACGACUGAGCGGAACAAUGCCUUCAUCGUCGCCUUGUAGCAUCAGAGCCCUUUGGAUCCUCAGCUCUCAGGACAACGUCGCCUUCUCCAGGAGAUUUCCGGUGGUGGAGAAAAGGUGGCGUUUGGCCUGUGCGAGAGAGAACGAGAGAUCAGAGUCUGUUGGGUACAGCGUGCUGCCUCUGCUACCGACGGAUCCUGAACUGGUUUCCGCUUUUUCUGAGAGGAAGAGGAGGGAGGGUUCCGCACAAGGAUUUGGCAUCCGCCUCGCUCAGUCAACUCAAGGAUCAGAUUCCUGGGUUGAUGAUCCAAUCACACGUCACAUUAUAUCACUCUCCAUUAAAAGAGAGGGUGGCGAAGAAGAAUUUAUGUUAUGGCCGUUGGUUUUACAUACAAAGGGCAGUUAUUAUAUUAUCAUUUUGCCUUUUGUUGAGCCUCAACAGUUUAAAGCAUAUGAGAAAUUGUGCACAAGAUCUGAUUGUGGUGGUUCAGUGGGGGAGGAAUACAGCCUCUCGUCCCUUUUAUACAGUCUACCAUGCAUCACAGGAGCAAUUAUGGUGGCACACACUGUGGGGGACAUAAUUACUGGUGACGUUGUUGACCCUGAUGUGGUCAUUAGUUCAUCUCCAUCCGUAGGAGGGUUGUUGGACUCACUGACUGGUAGUAUAGGCAUAUCAGCCAGGGCAAAACCUGUUGCAGCUUCUGUUGCAGCCUCAAGUACUUCAGGUGCUUCUGCAGUUGGUACUAUAGCAAUGGAUGCUUCCAAAAGCACAUCCAGACCAAUAGACAAAGAUGCAUUGCUUACUUUUCUGAGCAGCUCAAUGCCCUUUGGAACGCCUCUUGACCUAGACUUUGCACAUGUAUCUGUAAUCAAGGCCCAUGGUUUUUCUUCUUCAGAUUUGCCACCUGCAGAACUCAAGCAACCAGCCUGGAAGCCAUAUUUACACAAAGGAAAGCAGCGGAUGUUGUUCAUGAUUCAUGAGACGAUAAAUGCUGCCAUGUACGACCGUGAUGAAAUACCAGAUUCUAUUUCAAUUACAGGUCAAGUAAACUGCAGAGCGGACUUAGAAGGAUUGCCUGAUGUUUCCUUACCUCUGAGUGGACUGAAGAAUGCUAGCAUGGAAAUAGUUUCAUUUCACCAUUGUGUACAGGUAUCAGAACAUGGUGAUGAUAAACAAGCUCUAAUGUUUUCUCCGCCACUCGGGAAUUUUGUUUUGAUGCGUUAUCAGGCCUUAUGUGGUCCUGAUCCACCAGUAAAAGGCUUUUACCAGUUAUCUAUGGUCUCUGAGGAUGAAGGUGCAUUUUUGUUCAAGUUGCAGUUGAUGGAGGGUUACAGGGCUCCUUUUUCUAUGGACUUUUGUACUGUUUCCAUGCCAUUUCCACGUAGAAGAGUGCUAUCUUUUGAUGGGAAUCCUUCAACUGGAACAGUUUCAAUGACAGAGCAUUCCUUGGAAUGGAAAAUUGUUACAAGUGGCAGGGGUAUCACCGGUAAAAGCAUUGAGGCAACUUUUCCAGGUACAAUAAAAUUUUUUUCAAGGACAAUCCAGAGGGGUCCUUCACUACCAAGGUCAGUUUCAAGAAAUAUGGUUGAAGAAGAUACUCAUAGUGAUGCUGAACAGGACACUGCUAAUAAUACUCUCAACAUUGAGGAUAAUUUGAUGGAAAAAAUGAAUAAGGACUUAGAGUCAGUAGAUUUGGAAGAGCCAUUUUGUUGGCAAGCAUACAAUUAUGCAAAGGUUUCUUUUAAGAUUAUUGGAGGCACGCUAUCUGGAAUGUCAAUAGAUCCAAAAUCGGUAAGCAUCUAUCCGGCUUUGAAAGCACCAGUUGAACUCUCUAUGCAGAAAAUCAAUGAGAUCCGAUAUGAAGACGAUCCAACCUGAUGGUAAAACUGACUUGAUGAGACUUAAGCCCAAGUUAAUGGAAGUACGCUUAUAGAGCCCUAUAAACCAUCAUUCAACUUCUAAUGUGAGCGUCACAAGAAAUAUUCUGAUACCAAUCUUUGAUUUUAAGAAAAGGGAUAAACUUAUCAAUACUCUUCUGCUGAUUAUAAUCAAGUUGGAUGACAAUCUCUUUUCUCUUUAUCACCAAACUUCCUCCAGUAUUGUCAAAAAUGAAUAUAAUGAGAUCCAUUGACAAGGCUUCAAAUAAUCCUGUGUUAACAUUUAAACGAUGUUCUCGUGGCAUGCAUCCUCCGGAGAGUACAUAUUGUGGAAUACUUUGGGAAAAUGCCCUUCUGCUGUUUCUCCUAAAGUUUAUUGAUGAUUGAUGCUCAUUUAUGUUCCUUGGACAAGCCUUAUGUAUCAUUUCGAAGGGACAGGAGACAGGCAGACCCAAUGAGGAGAAUAAUGUGGUUGUUUGGUUAAACGAAAGUGCAAUUAUAUAAAAGGGUUUGAACAUUCAAAUGUUUGGUUAAGCACUUAGAAAUACAAUAAUCUGACUGCAUUUCUGUUUAAUUUUGCUCGGAAAUCCAUCCUUUGGAAUUUUGCCUCUUAUGACU